AUUAUCAGUAACGACCUGCACGGCAUUCUCCUCUCCUACCAGAUCAAUCACAUCCUCCAUAAGUUUCAGCAUGUACGCGGUGUUGUGCACAUAAGCCGAAGCAUCAACCGACUUGUGGAAGAAGGUCUUAGCAUCACAAUAUGUCAGGAAGUUGAUGAUGCUCCGUCUGGUCGGACCGGUCCAACCAUCGCACAUGAUGGUUAGUCCAUAUAUGGGCCACUUGCUCUUGUAGGAGUCAAUCCAAUUCUCCAGCUCCU
RNAcentral lists this long non-coding RNA (257 nucleotides) under Phoenix dactylifera (date palm). RNAcentral describes it as "long non-coding RNA (PDAC_LNC017154)". The record is from RNAcentral. Lineage: Eukaryota; Viridiplantae; Streptophyta; Magnoliopsida; Arecales; Arecaceae.